RNAcentral lists this ribosomal RNA (545 nucleotides) under Weissella cibaria. RNAcentral's name for it is "bacterial SSU rRNA". It matches the Rfam family "Bacterial small subunit ribosomal RNA", at positions 64 to 591 of the family's 1533-position model. The record is from RNAcentral. Lineage: Bacteria; Bacillati; Bacillota; Bacilli; Lactobacillales; Lactobacillaceae.
GAGCUUGCUCAGAUAUGACGAUGGACAUUGCAAAGAGUGGCGAACGGGUGAGUAACACGUGGGAAACCUACCUCUUAGCAGGGGAUAACAUUUGGAAACAGAUGCUAAUACCGUAUAACAAUAGCAACCGCAUGGUUGCUACUUAAAAGAUGGUUCUGCUAUCACUAAGAGAUGGUCCCGCGGUGCAUUAGUUAGUUGGUGAGGUAAUGGCUCACCAAGACGAUGAUGCAUAGCCGAGUUGAGAGACUGAUCGGCCACAAUGGGACUGAGACACGGCCCAUACUCCUACGGGAGGCAGCAGUAGGGAAUCUUCCACAAUGGGCGAAAGCCUGAUGGAGCAACGCCGCGUGUGUGAUGAAGGGUUUCGGCUCGUAAAACACUGUUGUAAGAGAAGAAUGACAUUGAGAGUAACUGUUCAAUGUGUGACGGUAUCUUACCAGAAAGGAACGGCUAAAUACGUGCCAGCAGCCGCGGUAAUACGUAUGUUCCAAGCGUUAUCCGGAUUUAUUGGGCGUAAAGCGAGCGCAGACGGUUAUUUAAGUCUG